RNAcentral lists this non-coding RNA (22 nucleotides) under Arabidopsis thaliana (thale cress). The record is from RNAcentral. Lineage: Eukaryota; Viridiplantae; Streptophyta; Magnoliopsida; Brassicales; Brassicaceae.
UUGUUAGUGCAGUUGUAGUUGG